RNAcentral lists this transfer RNA (82 nucleotides) under Trichonephila clavata. It matches the Rfam family "tRNA". From Rfam's summary of the family: Transfer RNA (tRNA) molecules are approximately 80 nucleotides in length. Lineage: Eukaryota; Metazoa; Arthropoda; Arachnida; Araneae; Nephilidae. The record is from Rfam by way of RNAcentral.
GCAGUCGUGGCCGAGUGGUUAAGGCGAUGGACACGAAAUCCAUUGGGGUCUCCCCGCGCAGGUUCGAAUCCUGCCGGCUGCG